Nicotiana tabacum (common tobacco) is the source of this 622-nucleotide long non-coding RNA. RefSeq lists it as uncharacterized. The record is from RefSeq and is a predicted model, not a curated record. Lineage: Eukaryota; Viridiplantae; Streptophyta; Magnoliopsida; Solanales; Solanaceae.
CGAUACACCCAAAGAACCUAUCUCUUUCUUUUUGCCUCUCAAAGAUAAAAAUAUUCAUUACCCCAAAAUCUUCUCUUCCACUCCUAAAAUCCAAAACCAACACCAGAAAUAUAAAGAUCUUUCAACUUCUAAUAUCUUUCAACUCCUUAUAGAUUCAUCUCAAGGACAAUUGCUAACCUUCCCCAAAUCCCCAAAUCCCCAAAUUCCAAAAUCAAUUUUAUGCUCGAAUUAGAGAAGCCGUCAAAAUGAAUGUGUUAUUAAUGUGGGUCGUCUUCUACUGGAGUUUCAAGUGAUAUUGGUAUUGUUGAUAGUCCUUCUUCUUUGGAUUGGAGAGAGAAAUGAGCUGUUACUAAAGUCAAAAAUCAAGGUGGAAAAAAUGAUGAAAAGAAAGUCGAAAGCGAUGAAGAUCUAGACCUUACUUAAGAAGAUUUUGGAAUUGUUGCUGAAACUUUAGAUAUUCAAGGAAUCUUUUUUUAUCGAACCUUUUGGAACUUUGAAUUGUUAAACUUAUGAACUUUGGUUAGAACAUUUUUUUUUGUGGGUAUUACUAAUUUGUUGGAUAAUUAAUUUGGUUUGUGAAUGUUUAUGAAUACUUUCACUUUGAAAAUUAUACAAAUUUUAU